Molecule: long non-coding RNA, 895 nt
Filed under: Apteryx rowi (Okarito brown kiwi)
Lineage: Eukaryota; Metazoa; Chordata; Aves; Apterygiformes; Apterygidae
Description: lncRNA (ENSARWG00000004479.1)
Source: RNAcentral
CGAAAGCAAAAAUGAAUAUUACAUAUGUUUGGUCAGCUCAUCAGUGAUGCACAGAAUUCUAUUGUUUGAGAACGAAAUGCAUCAUUAAUACUGAAUUUCACAAUUUGUUUAUAGGAGAUGAUUCAGCUUAAUUUCUAAAGCACCCUCUUUAUUAGAUGGCUGUCAGAUCAAGUCAGGUUUCAAGAACAAGUAUUUCAGCUGCAUUAGUAAUGAUGUUGUAAUCAUCAAUGCAGUAAUCAUUUAAAAAACAAAUGUGCUUAAAAGCAAGGAAACAAAUACUUAAAAUGGAGAAAUGAGCAUUCUCAGCAAGGGUGAAGAAGCACAGGGUUCUUCACAGUCAUAAAUUUCAAGUUGUGCUAUUUGACAGAAGAUAUAUAAUUGUCAACAGACAGAUUCUUGGGACUGUGUUCAUUUGCUUUUCUUGUGUUUAUAGGGGCACGUAGGGGGGAAAUGAUAAUUUACAAUGAGACUGGGUCUGCAGAUCUCUUUGAGGCCGAAUAGAGAGUGGAGUGCCUGAUGUGGUAGCCAGCUCAGCGAGAGCUGCUGCUGUAUGCACCCCUGUACUGACUGCCCGCCCCCCUCCUGGGAUCCAGGUAUUAAAAGUGCAACUAUAGAAACAGCUGUCUUCUUAAAAAGUAAUGAGCACCCUCCUCAACUCCAUGCUAGAGGAACAUGGACUAAACACUCAGGAAUUUGAAGAAAUUUUUCUUGCCUCUCUGUGGCCCAGAUAUGGGAGUGGAGUAACUGAUGCCUUUGUGGUUUUGAGCAAUGAGCACUGACUGAAGGAAGGGAAUCCAUGAUCAUGAGUUUCACUUCUUAUUGGCUGCAGGGACUUUGCGUAGUGCCAGUUCUGCUUUCAAUGCUUUCAGCCUCUGGUGAGCACCAGUACAGAAGA